Molecule: ribosomal RNA, 16 nt
Filed under: Fraxinus pennsylvanica
Lineage: Eukaryota; Viridiplantae; Streptophyta; Magnoliopsida; Lamiales; Oleaceae
Description: partial 26S ribosomal RNA
Source: RNAcentral
UCGCGCGUCGACAGCG